RNAcentral lists this unclassified non-coding RNA (262 nucleotides) under Hevea brasiliensis (rubber tree). Lineage: Eukaryota; Viridiplantae; Streptophyta; Magnoliopsida; Malpighiales; Euphorbiaceae. The record is from RNAcentral.
UGCAGUUGCAUGGUGGAUGUUGGAAAAUAUUGAAAACAUCUGUGAUGUUGAAGCACUCCAUCCUGAAAGUCCUUGGACGUGUCCUAAAUACCGAGUCACUUUUGAUGCUUCUGUCAUCUGGGGUCUGAUUGGUCCGAGACGACUCUUUGGACCUGGAGGGAUGUAUCGGAAUUUGGUAUGGCUAUUCCUUAUUGGAGCUUUCUUGCCGGUACCAGUCUGGAUAUUGAGCAAAAUGUUUCCUGAGAAGACAUGGAUUCCAUUG